CGGGGGGAGCGAGCGUUGUUCGGAUUUACUGGGCGUAAAGGGCGCGUAGGCGGCCACCGCAAGUCGACUGUGAAAUCUCCGGGCUUAACCCGGAAAGGUCAGCCGAUACUGCGGGGCUAGAGUGCAGAAGGGGCAACUGGAAUUCUCGGUGUAGCGGUGAAAUGCGUAGAUAUCGAGAGGAACACCUGCGGCGAAGGCGGGUUGCUGGGCUGACACUGACGCUGAGGCGCGAAAGCUAGGGGAGCGAACGGGAUUAGAUACCCCGGUAGUCCUAGCCUUAAACGAUGAAUGCUUGGUGUCUGGGGUUUUAUAGUCCCCGGGUGCCGUCGCUAACGCUUUAAGCAUUCCGCCUGGGGAGUACGGUCGCAAGACUG
RNAcentral lists this ribosomal RNA (374 nucleotides) under uncultured organism. Its description in RNAcentral is "bacterial SSU rRNA". It matches the Rfam family "Bacterial small subunit ribosomal RNA", at positions 526 to 896 of the family's 1533-position model. The record is from RNAcentral.